Molecule: transfer RNA, 74 nt
Filed under: Arsukibacterium tuosuense
Lineage: Bacteria; Pseudomonadati; Pseudomonadota; Gammaproteobacteria; Chromatiales; Chromatiaceae
Description: Rheinheimera tuosuensis tRNA_Arg_CCG
Rfam family: tRNA
About the family: Transfer RNA (tRNA) molecules are approximately 80 nucleotides in length. Their secondary structure includes four short double-helical elements and three loops (D, anti-codon, and T loops).
Source: RNAcentral
GCACCCGUAGCUCAGCUGGAUAGAGCGCUGCCCUCCGGAGGCAGAGGUCAGAGGUUCGAAUCCUCUCGGGUGCA